UACGUAGGGUGCGAGCGUUAAUCGGAAUUACUGGGCGUAAAGCGUGCGUAGGCGGUCCGCGAAGUCUGAUGUGAAAGCCCCGGGCUCAACCUGGGAACUGCAUUGGAAACUAACGGGCUCGAGUGUGGCAGAGGGGGGUGGAAUUCCACGUGUAGCAGUGAAAUGCGUAGAGAUGUGGAGGAACACCGGUGGCGAAGGCAGCCCCCUGGGCUAACACUGACGCUCAGGCGCGAAAGCGUGGGGAGCAAACAGG
RNAcentral lists this ribosomal RNA (253 nucleotides) under uncultured bacterium. Its description in RNAcentral is "partial 16S ribosomal RNA". It matches the Rfam family "Bacterial small subunit ribosomal RNA", at positions 524 to 776 of the family's 1533-position model. The record is from RNAcentral.